This 407-nucleotide ribosomal RNA is filed under the name uncultured bacterium. Its description in RNAcentral is "partial 16S ribosomal RNA". It matches the Rfam family "Bacterial small subunit ribosomal RNA", at positions 30 to 526 of the family's 1533-position model. The record is from RNAcentral.
AUUGAACGCUGGCGGCAGGCCUAACACAUGCAAGUCGAGCGGAGCGGCGGACGGGUGAGUAAUGCCUAGGAAUCUGCCUGGGAGUGGGGGAUAACGUCAGGAAACGGGCGCUGAUACCGCAUACUCUCAGAUGAGCCUAGGUCGGAGUAGCUAGUUGGUGGGGUAAAGGCCUACCAAGGCGACGAGCCGUAGCUGGUCUGAGAGGAUGAUCAGUCACACUGGAACUGAGACACGGUCCAGACUCCUACGGGAGGCAGCAGUGGGGAAUAUUGGACAAUGGGCGAAAGCCUGAUGCAGCCAUGCCGCGUGUGUGAAGAAGGUCUUCGGAUUGUAAAGCACUGUAAGUGGGGAGGCGUUACCUGCAGAAUAAGCACCGGCUAACUUCGUGCCAGCAGCCGCGGUAAUAC